ACAACGAAGAGUUUGAUCCUGGCUCAGGAUGAACGCUAGCGACAGGCUUAACACAUGCAAGUCGAGGGGCAGCGAGGUGGUAGCAAUACCGCUGUCGGCGACCGGCGCACUGGUGAGUAACACGUAUGCGACCUGCCCCCUACAGGGGUAUAACCCGUAGAAAUGCGGACUAAUCCCCCAUAGUCCUGGAGGCUGCAUGGCUUUCAGGGGAAAGGUCAGCCGGUAGGGGAUGGGCAUGCGGCGCAUUAGCUAGUUGGCGGGGCAACGGCCCACCAAGGCGACGAUGCGUAGGGGUUCUGAGAGGAAGGUCCCCCACACUGGUACUGAGACACGGACCAGACUCCUACGGGAGGCAGCAGUGAGGAAUAUUGGUCAAUGGGCGCAGGCCUGAACCAGCCAAGU
This 402-nucleotide ribosomal RNA is filed under the name Muribaculaceae bacterium. Its description in RNAcentral is "bacterial SSU rRNA". It matches the Rfam family "Bacterial small subunit ribosomal RNA", at positions 1 to 397 of the family's 1533-position model. Lineage: Bacteria; Pseudomonadati; Bacteroidota; Bacteroidia; Bacteroidales; Muribaculaceae. The record is from RNAcentral.